CGUUAAAGUGGGGACUUAAAUGUGUUGAAAUCCAAACUCUCGUGCCCAAAUUGAAAUAGAAAGGCGUUUAGUUAAACAAUCGGCCAACUAAUGCUUGACAGAGUCGCCUAUAGUAUAGGGAACUAAAUCGUAAUGUGGUGUUGAUUUAAAAUGAGCAGCAAUUUCUGUGCCAUGAAAUAUAAAAUCCUUUCCCAACCUCAAUUGAGACUCUUUCAAUUCUUUAAGAAAGCUCA
RNAcentral lists this long non-coding RNA (233 nucleotides) under Coffea arabica (coffee). Its description in RNAcentral is "long non-coding RNA (CARA_LNC005812)". The record is from RNAcentral. Lineage: Eukaryota; Viridiplantae; Streptophyta; Magnoliopsida; Gentianales; Rubiaceae.